GACGAACGCUGGCGGCGUGCUUAACACAUGCAAGUCGAACGGAAAGGCCUCUUUCGGGGGGUACUCGAGUGGCGAACGGGUGAGUAACACGUGAGUAACCUGCCCUUGACUUUGGGAUAACUUCAGGAAACUGGGGCUAAUACCGGAUAGGAGCUCCUGCUGCAUGGUGGGGGUUGGAAAGUUUCGGCGGUUGGGGAUGGACUCGCGGCUUAUCAGCUUGUUGGUGGGGUAGUGGCUUACCAAGGCUUUGACGGGUAGCCGGCCUGAGAGGGUGACCGGCCACAUUGGGACUGAGAGACGGCCCAGACUCCUACGGGAGGCAGCAGUGGGGAAUAUUGCACAAUGGGUGGAAGCCUGAUGCAGCAACGCCGUGUGCGGGAUGACGGCCUUCGGGUUGUAAACCGCUUUCGCUCAUGACGAAGCUUUGUGUGACGGUAGCGGGUAAAGAAGCACCGGCUAACUACGUG
This 467-nucleotide ribosomal RNA is filed under the name uncultured bacterium. Its description in RNAcentral is "partial 16S ribosomal RNA". It matches the Rfam family "Bacterial small subunit ribosomal RNA", at positions 28 to 507 of the family's 1533-position model. The record is from RNAcentral.